UACGAAGGGGGCUAGCGUUGUUCGGAAUUACUGGGCGUAAAGCGCACGUAGGCGGCUCUGUAAGUUGGGGGUGAAAUCCCGAGGCUCAACCUCGGAAUUGCCUUCAAGACUGCAGGGCUUGAGUUCGGGAGAGGUGAGUGGAAUUCCCAGUGUAGAGGUGAAAUUCGUAGAGAUUGGGAAGAACACCAGUGGCGAAGGCGGCUCACUGGCCCGUAACUGACGCUGAGGUGCGAAAGCGUGGGGAGCAAACAGG
This 253-nucleotide ribosomal RNA is filed under the name uncultured bacterium. Its description in RNAcentral is "partial 16S ribosomal RNA". It matches the Rfam family "Bacterial small subunit ribosomal RNA", at positions 524 to 776 of the family's 1533-position model. The record is from RNAcentral.